RNAcentral lists this long non-coding RNA (1043 nucleotides) under Nicotiana benthamiana. RNAcentral describes it as "long non-coding RNA (NBEN_LNC030198)". The record is from RNAcentral. Lineage: Eukaryota; Viridiplantae; Streptophyta; Magnoliopsida; Solanales; Solanaceae.
AAUAGCAUGUGGUUAAACAAUUUUGGAUUCCAGAUUUCAAAGCCUUCUCUUAUCCAAAGUGUUUCAAUGUUCCAAGGAGCCUCAAGGGCUCCAGGCAAUGCUUAAACUCUGGAUAAUUAUAAGAACAAAAUAGUGCAGUAUGGAAUAGGCAGCCUUCAGGCAUCCAAGUUCAAAGGGAGCUCCAGGGUCCCAAAGCGUGGCAUACCAAAGGGGGCAGAACGUUGAACUAGGAAUAAGUGCAAAGUGAGAGAGGGAUUAGGGAACCAUAGAAAAUAGUGGUCAUGCCCAGACAUGGGUAUAGACUGGCACACACCUGACAAUUUGCUUGGUCCAAACAAAUUAAGAGCAGACCUUAGAGGUCAGACCUGAGUUUGGAUGAUGAUUAGGACACCACUAGACUUGAGUCAAGGCUCAGCACAUAAAGCGGAAAGAGGAGUAGGAAUUGGUUUGAGUAAGGGUUCAAAAGAACCUAGUUCAAAGUCAUGGGUAACAAUAAUAGGAUACUGCCAUAACUGGAACUGUACUCUUCAUACAAAAGGGGUAAAGGGACAGGGAUAGACUGGCGCACCCCUGACCAUUUUCUUGGUCCAAACAAAUUAAGAGAAUACCUUAAAGGUCAGACCCGAGUCUGGAUCACGAUUAGGACACUUCCGACUUGAGUCAAGGCUCAGCAUAAAGGGAAAAGGGGAGUGGCAAUUGGUUUGAGUAAGGGUUCAAAAGAACCCAGUUCAAAGUCAUGGAUAGCAAUAAUAAGAUACUUCCAUGACUGGAAAUGUACCCUUCAUACAAAAGGGAUAAAGGGACAGGGAUUCACAUAAGACAAGCAUGUACAGAGAUGCAGAAACAGAAGGAAAGAAAGCAUAACAGACUAGGAGUAAAAUAAACACAUAGUGGAGGGACAUUAUUUAAUUUAGAGUGACAAAACAAUCUGCAAACACUAGAAUAAUAGGACAAUAAGAGCAAGUAAAUAGCCACAAGUCGGCAGGAGCAAACUCAAGUUCUUCAGCAAAUACUUGAGAGUUCAAAAUGAACGCAAGAAUGUU